Girardinichthys multiradiatus is the source of this 238-nucleotide long non-coding RNA. RefSeq lists it as uncharacterized. The record is from RefSeq and is a predicted model, not a curated record. Lineage: Eukaryota; Metazoa; Chordata; Actinopteri; Cyprinodontiformes; Goodeidae. The transcript has 3 exons.
GUGGUUGUUUGGGCAACGUGGACAUGGUUUAGAUUUGCAGGUAUCCAGCUUCAGCUCUCCACUGAGGCAGAUUAUGGUUUUACUGCAGGAGCCAUCGCCUUCCUGGUCAUCAAUGCUUUUCUUAUAUUGAUUGCUGCUUAUAGAAACCUGGUUCUUCUGUUUCUAACAACACUCAUGGAGGUGGUUCUGGUCUGCUUCCUUCUCUCCACCCUACACAAACUGCCAUAUGAGCUUGAAA